UUGGGGGAAUUUCGGGGGGAUUUGGGGUGUUCCCAACCCUGCACCCCCUUUGGCACCGUUUCAGUGCUCGGAUGAGUCCUCGGAGCUGUCCCGGCAGCACAGGGAGAUGCACGGCGGGGCAGGUGAGGGGAGAGGGUCCCCAAAAUCCUACCCGGGGUCCCCAAAACCCCCCUAGGACCCUCUGUCACCUUUUGGGGACCCCCCCUGUCACCCCAAUGUCCCCACAGCCGGUGACAGUGACCCGGAGCAGCUGGAGGAGGAGCCCUCGCCCGAGGAGCAGCAGAGCCAGACCCCGAGAGGUGACAGCCCUGAGGGCAGCAGGGGGGUCCCCAAUUGCCGGCGGCGCCCCAAGAACCUGGAGGUGUGGAUGGAGAGAGAGAGGGAGAGGAGCCGGGACAGGUACAGGGAAAGGGGAAUUGGGAAAUGGGAAUGGGGACUGGGACAGGGACUGGGAAAUGGGGAGUGGAGGCUGGGAAUGGGGACUGGGAAAUGGGAAAUGGGACAGGUACUGGGAAAUGGGAGUGGGGUUUGAGGUUUGGGGAGUGGGAAUUGGAGUUUGGGACUGG
RNAcentral lists this long non-coding RNA (566 nucleotides) under Zonotrichia albicollis (white-throated sparrow). RNAcentral's name for it is "lncRNA (ENSZALG00000001118.1)". The record is from RNAcentral. Lineage: Eukaryota; Metazoa; Chordata; Aves; Passeriformes; Passerellidae.